GUGGGGAAUAUUGGACAAUGGGCGAAAGCCUGAUCCAGCCAUGCCGCGUGUGUGAAGAAGGUCUUCGGAUUGUAAAGCACUUUAAGUUGGGAGGAAGGGCAGUAAGUUAAUACCUUGCUGUUUUGACGUUACCGACAGAAUAAGCACCGGCUAACUUCGUGCCAGCAGCCGCGGUAAUACGAAGGGUGCAAGCGUUAAUCGGAAUUACUGGGCGUAAAGCGCGCGUAGGUGGUUUUGUAAGUUGGAGGUGAAAUCCCCGGGCUCAACCUGGGAACUGCCUCCAAAACUGCAUGACUAGAGUACGGUAGAGGGUAGUGGAAUUUCCUGUGUAGCGGUGAAAUGCGUAGAUAUAGGAAGGAACACCAGUGGCGAAGGCGACUACCUGGACUGAUACUGACACUGUGGUGCGAAAGCGUGGGGAGCAAACAGGAUUAGAAACCCUUGUAGUCC
Molecule: ribosomal RNA, 450 nt
Filed under: uncultured bacterium
Lineage: Bacteria
Description: partial 16S ribosomal RNA
Rfam family: Bacterial small subunit ribosomal RNA
Source: RNAcentral